UAAACUUUUCCUAACUUGGACCUUCCAGUUCUUAAAAAUUCUUUGUUUGAGGUCUAUCCUCAGAUGAUUUUAUUACUUGUUGGCAUGGAGGCUUCAAAGCCGAAGGCAAACCGGUUUCCUCAAGUGCGCAUGUUUCCCUCUGGGCCUAUUAGCGACCGUUUGUAGUGGAACGGAAGCAGGUGUUGCUGACUCGCGUCUCUGCCAGUAGAGACCUUAGCCUGAGUUAUCUGACCUGUGAAAAGUCAGACCCCCUUCCACAGCCUCCGAUAUUUUGUGGGGAGAAAGUGUGAGAGGGAAUGUGGGAUUGGGCUCAGGAUUCCUUGGGCUCAGUCAGACUCUGGGAACAAGUGGAUGUGUGACCUGGAAUCACUUCAUUUUGCAGCCCUGUGCUGGCUAGUUUUAUGUCAACCUGACACAAGCUAGAGUCAUUAGUGAGGAAGGCGCCUCGACUGAGAAAAUGCCUUCUUAAAAUCAGGCUAUAGGCAAACCUAUGAGGCACUUUCUUAAUUAGUGAUUGGUGAGGAAUGACUCAGCCCCUUGUGGAUGGUUGCACCCCUUGGCUGGUGGUCCUGGCUUCUCAAGAGGGCAGGCUAAGGAAGUCACGUGGAGCAAGAUAGCAUGUAGCUCUCCUCCACUGCCUCUGCUUCAGUUGGAGUUCUGUCUCGAUUUCCUUCAAUGUAGAAGGGGACAAUGGAUGCUGUUCAGCUGGGGCCGAAGAACCAGCUGUGAUGAAGACAAGACCAGCAUCUCUGGAGUGGAGUCUUCUGGGGAGUGGUUCAUCCGAGUUAGCACACAGAAGCUGUGCUCCAGAGGCGGCCCAGGUUGUGCUGCCUUGCACUGGCAGCUGAAUUUGGUAGUUUAAAAGUCACUCAGGCGGUGCUGGUUUUGGAGGCAGGAAGGGGUCAGGGAGAGCAGCCGAGGCUUGGGACUGUGAGAGGCCAAGGGAGGCCAUUGGGGAAAUGAACAGCUUCAGUAGCAGGAUUGAAUAGGUCGUGCAGAGAAUUUGCAGCUUCGUACCAUGAAGAAAGUCCAGGAGAGGUUAUUGAUGAAAGUCCAGUUGCAGCAAGAGACCCCAGCAUUUUGGAGAUGUCCGGACCAUGGGUGACCUCCAAGGACAGCAUCAAUGGUAGAGAGGCCUUGACUUGAGCCUGGAAGACCAGCUGUGUGUGCUGCAGAGGGCAGAGCUGGAGAAGUGACCCAAGCCCUUCGGAGGAGCCCAGAGGAUCAUGAGGUCAGCGACUGGUGGCGUGGCCUCUGUGGAACAUUGCUGCAGAUGGCACGGAUGCUCUGCGGUAUUGCUACAGAGCUGGGGAAAACAGCGUGUUUGGGCCGGAGAAAGUCUCCCUGAGAGCUGAUCUAUGCAAUGAUGACUUCAUCAGAGUUGUUAUUUCCGCUGCCUGUUUCUACAGCUUCAGGAUGUGAACUGGUGCAAGGGACUGUGGGUGACAGAAUGUGAAAGGGACAGAAGACAGAGACAGCUCAGAAUGGCACUACUUUGUAGAAACGGACACCCCUGGGCAUUUCAAGAAGCUGAGCUACAAGUCUGUCGGCGGUGGCACACACCUUUAAUCCCAGCACUUGGGGAGGAAGAAGCAGGCGGAUCUCUGAGUUUGAGGACAGCCUGGUCUACAGGAAGAAAUCUCACUGCACCAUGCUGCUGGUUGCCAGAGGCCAUAUUGAUGUCUGUGAUCUGUGCUGCUGCUGGAGGAAGUGUUGAUGUCUGUGGUGUGUUGCUGCUGGAUACCAUGUUGAUGUCUGCGGGUCUGUGAUCCGUGCUGCCACUAGAGGGCACUGUGAUGUCUGUGAUCUGCGCUGCCACCACAGACCAGGUUGAUGUGCGUGAUCAUCAUAACCAUCUUGAAGUCCACAGUCAGUGCUGCUGCUACCAGAAAUGAUGUGGCGACUCCAUGGUCCAUGCUGCCACUUGACUGCUAUGGGCAAUGAAGCUUCUUUUAUAGAGCUGUCUAUGACUGCAGACUCAUAGCUGAGAAUGACAGACACCCCCCUUCCACACCCACGCACAAAGAAACCAUCCAGUCGGGAAGCUACCACAGAGAGUGCUUAGAAACCAUGACAAAGAUGCUAAGUGUAGUUCUUCACAGUUGAUGACUUCUUGUGGGGGGGGCGGUGGGAGAAGGACUCAUUUUCCUUAGGGGCUGGCCACUGGGAGUUUGUCUGUACCCUGUGAGUAUAUGGGCAACACAAAUUAAACUUGGUGUUUUUUU
Non-coding RNA from Myodes glareolus (Bank vole), 2225 nucleotides. The record is from RefSeq and is a predicted model, not a curated record. NCBI's taxonomy places the organism in Eukaryota, Metazoa, Chordata, Mammalia, Rodentia, Cricetidae.